GACGAACGCUGGCGGCGUGCUUAACACAUGCAAGUCGAACGAAGAGCGAUAGAAGCUUGCUUCUAUCAAUCUUAGUGGCGAACGGGUGAGUAACGCGUAAUCAACCUGCCCUUCAGAGGGGGACAACAGUUGGAAACGACUGCUAAUGCCGCAUACGAUCUGACCUCGGCAUCGAGGAUAGAUGAAAGGUGGCCUCUAUUUAUAAGCUAUCACUGAAGGAGGGGAUUGCGUCUGAUUAGCUAGUUGGAGGGGUAACGGCCCACCAAGGCGAUGAUCAGUAGCCGGUCUGAGAGGAUGAACGGCCACAUUGGGACUGAGACACGGCCCAGACUCCUACGGGAGGCAGCAGUGGGGAAUCUUCCGCAAUGGACGAAAGUCUGACGGAGCAACGCCGCGUGAGUGAUGACGGCCUUCGGGUUGUAAAGCUCUGUUAAUCGGGACGAAAGGCCUUCUUGCGAAUAGUUAGAAGGAUUGACGGUACCGGAAGAGAAAGCCACGGCUAACUACGUG
This 510-nucleotide ribosomal RNA is filed under the name uncultured bacterium. Its description in RNAcentral is "partial 16S ribosomal RNA". It matches the Rfam family "Bacterial small subunit ribosomal RNA", at positions 28 to 507 of the family's 1533-position model. The record is from RNAcentral.